Molecule: ribosomal RNA, 612 nt
Filed under: Triticum aestivum (bread wheat)
Lineage: Eukaryota; Viridiplantae; Streptophyta; Magnoliopsida; Poales; Poaceae
Description: partial small subunit ribosomal RNA
Source: RNAcentral
AUGGCAACCAAGAGCCUUCUUCUCGCCGCCCUCCUGGUCCUCGCCGUCAGCCAGGCGCCGCACGGUGCGGAGGCGGGCAAGCAGCCUCCAGUGGCACUCGUCACCGGCGUGGUGCCAUGCAGCGCCGGGAACUCCAUCAACGUGGCUGCGGUUCCCCCCUUCCCGAGUAAGGACCUCUGCUAUCCUCUUGCUUGGAUCUGGAUGCCAUGGGCCAUGGCUACCUUCCCGUCUUACAUUUGCUGUGCUUCUUUGCUCCCGACAGACGCCGCCGUGCAGAUGGUGUGCGGCCGUGAUGUGAUGGCCAGCGCCACUGCCGACCGCAGCGGAACGUACACCAUGAACAUGGGCCCGGCCACCUCGUCGCUGCUCGCCCCUCUGCUCGGCAACCAGUGCAAGGUGGUGGUGAUCACCCCGCUAGCCGCCUGCAACGCGUCCCUGGCCAGCGUCACCGGGACGCUAACCGCACCCGUGCAGCUCCUGCGUAUUGACAGUGGCAGCGGCAGCGGUGGCCUCGGGGGCCUUGGCGGCCUAAUUGGCCUCAUCGGGCAGAUCGUGGGCGGCCUCCUCGGUGGCAUCCUUAACAUCAUCCCAUUGCCCUUCUCCCUCGUCUAG